Molecule: transfer RNA, 73 nt
Filed under: Alosa alosa (allis shad)
Lineage: Eukaryota; Metazoa; Chordata; Actinopteri; Clupeiformes; Clupeidae
Description: tRNA-OTHER
Source: RNAcentral
CCGCCCGUGGCACAACUGGUUUGGGCACCUGCACCGCACGCCGGCGACCCGGGUUCGAUUCCCGCCUUGUGGU